UUUUUAUAAGUAAAAUCUGCUCCAUGUUAAUAAAUAGCCGCAGAAUAACUGUGCUAAGGUAGCAUAAUCAUUAGUCUUCUAAUUUAAGACUAGAAUGAAUGAUUUAACAUUUUAAUUAAUUUUUUUAUUUAAAAAAUUUAAAUUUAACUAAGAAUAAAAAUGUUCUUAUUAAUAAAAAAGACGAUAAGACCCUAAUGAACUUUACUAAAGUUUAGCUGGGGAAGCUAAUUAAAAAUAAUUUUAAUUACCUUUAUCUUAAUAAAAAUCCAAUAAAAUUGAUAUAAACAAGUUACCAUAGGGAUAACAGCGUAAUAACUUUUAAAAGCUCCUAUUUAAAAAACAGUUUACGACCUCGAUGUUGAAUUAAUUUUCCUAAAAAACGUAACCGUUUAAAAGGGGGUCUGU
RNAcentral lists this ribosomal RNA (405 nucleotides) under Bathyphantes eumenis. RNAcentral's name for it is "partial 16S ribosomal RNA". Lineage: Eukaryota; Metazoa; Arthropoda; Arachnida; Araneae; Linyphiidae. The record is from RNAcentral.